GAAAGUUCUCAGUUUCUGUCUGUGUCUGCAGAGGGAGGCCAUGAGUGUGUGGCAAAUGGAAUCUCCAGGAAUAGCUCCUCACCUUGUAUUUCAGGAACCACACACACUCUUCAUGACUCUUCUGUUGCUUCCAUAGAAACCAAAUCUAGACAAAGGAGUCACAGUAGUAUUCAAUUCAGCUUCAAAGAAAAACUAUCAGAAAAAGUUUCGGAGAAGGAAACAAUAGUUAAGGAGUCAGGUAAACAACCAGGAGCAAAACCUAAAGUAAAACUUGCCAGAAAAAAGGAUGAUGACAAGAAAAAAUCUUCAAAUGAAAAACUCAAACAAACCAGUGUAUUCUUCAGUGAUGGUCUGGAUUUAGAGAACUGGUAUAGCUGUGGAGAGGGAGACAUUUCUGAAAUUGAGAGUGACAUGGGUUCUCCAGGAUCUCGAAAAUCUCCCAGUUUCAACAUUCAUCCUCUCUAUCAACAUGUGCUCCUGUAUCUCCAGUUGUAUGAUUCAUCCAGGACUUUGUAUGCUUUCUCUGCCAUCAAAGCCAUCUUGAAAACUAACCCUAUAGCUUUUGUAAAUGCCAUUUCAACUACUAGUGUAAAUAACGCAUAUACUCCUCAGUUGUCUCUCCUUCAGAAUCUAUUGGCCAGACACCGGAUUUCUGUUAUGGGCAAAGAUUUUUAUAGUCACAUUCCAGUGGACUCAAAUCAUAACUUCCGGAGUUCUAUGUACAUAGAAAUUCUUAUUUCUCUCUGCUUAUAUUACAUGCGCAGCCAUUACCCAACUCAUGUCAAGGUUACUGCACAAGAUUUAAUAGGCAAUCGAAACAUGCAAAUGAUGAGCAUAGAAAUUCUGACACUACUCUUCACUGAGCUGGCAAAAGUAAUAGAAAGCUCAGCGAAGGGUUUCCCUAGUUUUAUUUCUGAUAUGUUAUCUAAGUGCAAAGUUCAGAAAGUGAUUCUUCAUUGUUUGCUGUCAUCUAUCUUUAGUGCUCAGAAAUGGCAUAGUGAAAAAAUGGCAGGUAAGAACUUGGUUGCUGUGGAAGAAGGUUUCUCAGAGGACAGCCUUAUUAAUUUCUCAGAGGAUGAAUUUGACAAUGGCAGCACGUUGCAGUCACAACUUCUUAAGGUGCUUCAGAGGCUGAUUGUUCUAGAACACAGAGUAAUGACUAUUCCUGAAGAGAAUGAAACAGGUUUUGAUUUUGUUGUAUCUGACUUAGAACACAUCAGUCCCCAUCAACCCAUGACUUCUCUUCAGUAUUUGCAUGCUCAGCCAAUCACGUGUCAAGGCAUGUUCCUCUGUGCAGUGAUACGAGCUUUGCAUCAGCACUGUGCAUGUAAGAUGCACCCACAAUGGAUUGGUUUAAUCACAUCUACUCUGCCUUACAUGGGAAAAGUUCUACAGAGAGUGGUUGUUUCUGUGACACUACAACUGUGCAGAAAUUUAGAUAAUCUAAUUCAGCAGUACAAAUAUGAAACAGGAUUAUCUGAUAGUAGGCCUCUGUGGAUGGCAUCAAUUAUUCCACCAGAUAUGAUUCUUACUCUUUUGGAAGGGAUUACAGCCAUUAUCCAUUACUGUUUGUUGGAUCCAACUACACAGUAUCACCAACUUUUGGUCAGUGUAGACCAGAAACACUUGUUUGAAGCACGCAGUGGAAUCCUCUCAAUCCUUCAUAUGAUCAUGUCCUCUGUGACACUGCUUUGGAGCAUACUCCAUCAAGCUGAUUCUUCAGAAAAGAUGACUAUUGCCGCAUCCGCAUCUGUUACCACUAUUAAUCUUGGAGCUACAAAGAACUUGAGACAACAGAUUCUGGAAUUGUUGGGCCCCAUUUCAAUGAAUCAUGGUGUUCACUUUAUGGCUGCCAUUGCAUUUGUGUGGAAUGAAAGAAGACAGAAUAAAACAACCACCAGGACCAAGGUCAUUCCUGCAGCCAGUGAAGAACAGCUUUUAUUAGUGGAAUUGGUUCGUUCAAUCAGUGUCAUGAGAGCAGAGACUGUUAUCCAGACUGUGAAAGAAGUUUUAAAGCAGCCACCAGCCAUAGCCAAGGACAAGAAACAUCUUUCUUUGGAAGUCUGCAUGCUUCAGUUUUUCUAUGCUUAUAUUCAAAGAAUUCCAGUGCCCAAUUUAGUGGAUAGCUGGGCGUCACUGUUGAUACUUCUGAAAGACUCUAUACAACUGAGUCUUCCAGCUCCAGGGCAGUUUCUUAUACUUGGGGUUCUGAAUGAGUUUAUUAUGAAAAACCCUAGUUUGGAAAAUAAAAAAGACCAAAGAGACCUUCAGGAUGUAACUCACAAAAUAGUGGAUGCAAUUGGUGCAAUUGCUGGUUCUUCUCUGGAACAAACAACAUGGCUGCGACGAAAUCUUGAAGUUAAGCCUUCUCCCAAAAUAAUGGUAGAUGGAACCAAUUUGGAAUCUGAUGUUGAAGAUAUGUUAUCACCUGCAAUGGAAACCGCAAACAUAACUCCUUCUGUAUAUAGUGUCCAUGCAUUGACAUUACUCUCUGAGGUUUUGGCUCAUCUUUUGGAUAUGGUUUUCUAUAGUGAUGAAAAGGAGCGGGUUAUUCCUUUACUUGUAAAUAUUAUGCAUUAUGUUGUGCCCUACCUCAGAAAUCACAGUGCACAUAAUGCCCCUAGUUAUCGAGCUUGUGUCCAGCUGCUCAGCAGUCUUAGUGGGUAUCAGUACACACGGAGAGCUUGGAAAAAAGAAGCUUUUGACCUCUUUAUGGAUCCCAGUUUCUUUCAGAUGGAUGCCUCUUGUGUUAAUCAUUGGAGAGCAAUUAUGGACAAUCUGAUGACACAUGAUAAAACAACAUUUAGAGAUUUGAUGACUCGCGUAGCAGUGGCUCAAAGCAGUUCACUUAAUCUCUUUGCAAACCGGGAUGUGGAGCUAGAACAGAGAGCUAUGCUUCUUAAAAGAUUAGCAUUUGCUAUUUUUAGCAGUGAAAUUGACCAGUACCAGAAAUAUCUUCCAGAUAUACAAGAGAGAUUGGUUGAGAGUCUCCGUUUGCCACAGGUGCCAACUCUCCAUUCUCAAGUGUUCCUGUUUUUCAGAGUGUUACUUUUAAGAAUGUCUCCCCAACACCUUACCUCACUCUGGCCUACCAUGAUUACAGAACUUGUACAAGUAUUUUUACUGAUGGAGCAGGAACUCACUGCUGAUGAAGAUAUUUCACGGACUUCAGGGCCCUCUGUGGCUGGUCUGGAGACAACAUACACAGGAGGUAAUGGCUUCUCUACUUCAUAUAACAGCCAGCGGUGGUUAAACCUCUAUCUCUCUGCUUGCAAAUUUUUGGAUUUGGCUCUCGCAUUGCCCUCUGAAAACCUUCCUCAGUUUCAGAUGUACCGAUGGGCCUUUAUUCCAGAAGCCUCAGAUGAUUCAGGUUUGGAAGUCAGAAGACAGGGUAUACAUCAACGAGAAUUUAAACCUUACGUGGUACGACUAGCAAAACUUCUUCGGAAAAGAGCAAAGAAAAAUCCAGAGGAAGACAACUCAGGGAGAACAUUGGGUUGGGAGCCAGGGCACUUGCUGCUCACCAUCUGCACCGUGCGCAGUAUGGAGCAGCUCCUGCCGUUCUUCAAUGUGCUCAGUCAAGUCUUCAACAGCAAAGUCACAAGCCGAUGUGGAGGACACUCAGGGAGUCCUAUCCUCUACUCAAAUGCCUUCCCUAAUAAGGACAUGAAACUGGAGAACCACAAACCAUGUUCCAGCAAAGCCAGGCAAAAAAUAGAAGAGAUGGUAGAAAAAGAUUUUCUGGAAGGGAUGAUAAAAACUUGAGCACCACUGGUGGUUCCAUUUAGCUUACAUGUAAAUGUAAUUAUUUAAAACACACACACUGCUCUGCGUUGUAUAGUUUUUCCUUUUUUGUAUGUAACAGAACACAUUUCAGGUUGUAUUUAAUUUAAAUAUUUGUAUAUAAGAGCAAAUGUCUGAAUGUGGCCUGAAUCAAGUUUAAAUAUUGUUGGCUCAUACUGAUUAUGGUGCCUAAGAGAGCUAUAUAUAUACACACAUGUAAAGUCCAUUGUUUUUAUUGUCCUGAGUUGUCUUAAACCUGCAAAAUAUACACUACCCAUUUUUUUUUUUCCAUGGUUUCAGGCUUGGUUUAAUUAAGAUUGGUUGGGGAUUUUUCACUUUUCCUUAUUAACCAUGUUCUGGUAUCAGAGUGGUGUUCCUUCUCCACCAGAGGCUGGGAAACGUAUUAUAAUUAGUUUUUCUCCCACAUACCUUCACCAAGAGCAGUGAAGAAUAACUGAAGGCUGGACCAUGCAUCCUUAAAAGUAUUGCACGAGCAUCUCCACCUCAUUAUGGAAGAGGGAUGGACAACCCCCUAUUCAUACCUCUGAGUUCCUGAUGGCAUUAGUCAUAUAGUAACAAAUUCCAAGCCCUUAAAUAAAUGGAAAACAGACCAAAUUCUUUUAAAUAAGAACUAUCCCAGCUUACUUGUGAGUCUGCUUCUGCAUAUACUCGGACGACAUCUUCUGUACCAGAGGGCCGGACAAAAGCUCGAGAAAGCUUGUACUUCUUCACCAGGUCAUUGAUUGCCUCCUGUAAUCCUGGGGGUGUAACUGCUUGUCUUUCAGCAUUGGUAGUGCUAAUAACUCUCCUGUCUGCAACCUAAGUGCAAGCAUUUCAUAUUUGUUACUCUAUUACACUUCCUUUCAGAAGCUUAACCUGUUAAACAUACAUUGUACGAAAAGUGCCAGACGAAAUAUAAAAUUACAUUAAAACUUCUUUCUCCAAGGUCAGGGUAAUUAAUUUCAACAUUUGUACAACUUUUCUCUUUUUCUUCAGUCUAUAAAGAAUUACCUUUGGCAAAAAAUAUUUCCACAAAUGUUUAGAGUUACCACUAAGAUAAUGGCCAGUAAAUACGAUAUGACUUUAAGUCCCAUAUCACACACACACACAAAAAAGUGGUAGCCCAUUAUAUAAGAAGACCGAUAAGAAUCUCUUAAAUAUGCCAAAAAUAAUCUGAACAAUCAGCCAUUUCUGUGAACUGUGGCUUUAGUACCUCCAACUGUCUUUCACAAAUUCUGUUGGUGAAUGUGUAAACUGGCAUAAACAUGUACAGAAAUCAAUUAGCAAUUUAUCUGAAUUCUCUCCCUCAGGAAGUACUCUGUGAACGAAACAUAAUGCAGAGUAAGUACUUUCACUUGAAAUGACAGGGGAUCUGAGUUUUGCUUCAAAAUAAUGUUGGGGCCAGGCGCAGUGGCUCACACCUGUAAUCCUAGCACUUUGGGAGGCCAAGGGAGAAGGAUCACCUGAGCUCAGGAGUUCAAGACCAGCCUGGGCAACAUAGUGAGAUCUCGUCUCUAAAUAAAAUAUACAAAAGAGGGGGUAUGAAGAAUGUAUAGGGCAAUAAUUGAAAUCUGUUGAAGCUGGGUACACAAAAGUUCAUUAUGUUGUUUCUCUACAUUUAUAUCUAUUUUUAAUUCUCCAUAAUAAAAUCUCUUUAAAAAA
RNAcentral lists this small RNA (5445 nucleotides) under Pongo abelii (Sumatran orangutan). RNAcentral describes it as "processed transcript". The record is from RNAcentral. Lineage: Eukaryota; Metazoa; Chordata; Mammalia; Primates; Hominidae.